Long non-coding RNA from Sinocyclocheilus anshuiensis, 856 nucleotides. RefSeq lists it as uncharacterized. NCBI's taxonomy places the organism in Eukaryota, Metazoa, Chordata, Actinopteri, Cypriniformes, Cyprinidae. The transcript is spliced from 2 exons. The record is from RefSeq and is a predicted model, not a curated record.
AAUAAUAUUUCACAAUAUUACUGUAUUUUUCAUCAAGUAAUUGCAGCCUUGGUGCGCUUCUGAACGUCGGUGUCCUAAAUAUUUGAUAUGUUAGGCCUAAUAGUUGUAGUACAUACCACUGAAACAUUUUUUUCUGUUACUUUGUUGAACAACCAAGUGAGUUCAUGAAAAUACAUAUCUAAAGCUUUAGAGUCAUAUAUAAACACACAGUAAUGUGAAACAUAUCAUAUACAACCAGUUGAAAAUACAGUUUUCUAAAUUUGACCUUUACAAAUUGCUUUGUGUAUCCUCUUUAGUCAGAAGUAAAUUCAAUUAAUUUAGAUCUUACCACAUAAAAGUAAACCAGCAAAACAUUUUCAGAGUGUGUGUGAAGUGAAUAACUCCAACAUGAUACACAGACUGUUAAGAACAACAACAACCGUAUUUAUUAACAAGUACACCAGUGUAGUUUAUUUAUGCAAGCAGUUUGUCCCUACAGAUCAGAAAAGCCACUGUCAAGCGGUUGGCACAUUUAUGUACAAAACAAAUUAAUGGUACAGCUGGCUACUAAGCAUUCUUUAGUGAGAGUACAAAAAGACUACUAGUAUACGAGGACAGAGAGAGUGAGCCAGAGUAAGAGAGAGAGAGAAAGAGAGAGAGAGGUGAGGGUUCAGAGAAAGCAUUAAGUUAGGGGCUCAACAAGCAAUAAGAUCACCACAAAGCAAACAGGCACAAAUCAAACACUACCAUCGAAGAGUAGGAGUUUCAGCGCAAUGUAGCCUAUUUAGCAUAGGAUUCAAAUUACUGCACAUUAUGAGGAAGGGGAUGACCCAGCAAGACAGUCGCAUAACAAACUCAUAAAAAGAUUAAAUGAAAA